Molecule: ribosomal RNA, 715 nt
Filed under: uncultured bacterium
Lineage: Bacteria
Description: bacterial SSU rRNA
Rfam family: Bacterial small subunit ribosomal RNA
Source: RNAcentral
GGGUGAGUAACACGUAGGGAACCUGCCCGCGCACCGGGAAUACGCUCUGGAAACGGAGAACAAAUCCCGAUGUACAGGAAGGAGGCAUCUUCUUUCUGUGAAACAUCCUUUAGGGGAUGGGGCGCGGAUGGACCUGCGGUGCAUUAGUUGGUUGGCGGGGUAAAGGCCCACCAAGACGAUGAUGCAUAGCCGGCCUGAGAGGGCGGACGGCCACAUUGGGACUGAGACACGGCCCAGACUCCUGCGGGAGGCAGCAGUAGGGAAUUUUCGUCAAUGGGCGCAAGCCUGAACGAGCGAUGCCGCGUGAGUGAAGAAGGCCUUCGGGUCGUAAAGCUCUGUUGCGGGGGAAAAAAGGCAGCAUCAGGAAAUGGGUGCUGACUGAUGGUGCCCCGCCAGAAAGUCACGGCUAACUACGUGCCAGCAGCCGCGGUAAUACGUAGGUGGCGAGCGUUAUCCGGAAUGAUUGGGCGUAAAGGGUGCGCAGGCGGUCCUGCAAGUCUGGAGUGAAACGCAUGAGCUCAACUCAUGCAUGGCUUUGGAAACUGGAGGACUGGAGAGCAGGAGAGGGCGGUGGAACUCCAUGUGUAGCGGUAAAAUGCGUAGAUAUAUGGAAGAACACCAGUGGCGAAGGCGGCCGCCUGGCCUGUUGCUGACGCUGAGGCACGAAAGCGUGGGGAGCAAAUAGGAUUAGAUACCCUAGUAGUCCACGCCGUAA